UACAUUCAAUAUAACUAAUUCAAAAUAAACAUCUACUAAAAGUUUACAAAUAAAUCCUAAAAUAAUUAUUAGAAUAACAAAUAAUUAUCUUAAGUGGCUAAUUUCAUCUUAUCCAUAAGCUGCACCUUGACUUGAAAUUCACAAAAGAUUGAAAUUGAAACAAUAUUUAAAAAUCAUCCUAACAGAGAUAUACAAGCUAAAAGAAUAAGAAAAACUAAACGAGGACUAUCGAUUAAAAAACAAGCCCCUCUAAUAAGUAAUUGAACCGCCAAAAUCUUUGGGUUUUAAGAAAAUCUAAUAAUACCCCACAUAAAAAUAAAAGGGUAUCUAAUCCUCGUUUAAAAAUAAAUUCAAAUGAAAAACUAAAAAUAAAAAAUAAAAUAAAAUUUCACCUUUAUUUUAAAUUUAAAAUAAACAAAACCAUUCAUACUUUAAGCUUUAAUAAAAUAAUCGUAUA
Molecule: ribosomal RNA, 457 nt
Filed under: Partnunia cf. steinmanni A LB-2019
Lineage: Eukaryota; Metazoa; Arthropoda; Arachnida; Trombidiformes; Hydryphantidae
Description: partial small subunit ribosomal RNA
Source: RNAcentral